CAGCCGCCACGGUAAUACGUAGGGCGCAAGCGUUAUCCGGAAUUAUUGGGCGUAAAGAGCUCGUAGGCGGUUUGUCGCGUCUGCCGUGAAAGUCCGGGGCUCAACCCCGGAUCUGCGGUGGGUACGGGCAGACUAGAGUGAUGUAGGGGAGACUGGAAUUCCUGGUGUAGCGGUGAAAUGCGCAGAUAUCAGGAGGAACACCGAUGGCGAAGGCGGGUCUCUGGGCAUUAACUGACGCUGAGGAGCGAAAGCAUGGGGAGCGAACAGGAUUAGAUACCCGCGUAGUCCCUGUCUCUUAUAC
This 301-nucleotide ribosomal RNA is filed under the name uncultured bacterium. RNAcentral's name for it is "partial 16S ribosomal RNA". It matches the Rfam family "Bacterial small subunit ribosomal RNA", at positions 509 to 807 of the family's 1533-position model. The record is from RNAcentral.